GUUUGACUUCACCUUAUAUAGGGGAAAAUGCCUCUGCAGCUUUGGUGUUGGCCAGUACUCAACAGAAAACAGCUUCUUUUCUUUUGCACCCAGAACUUCAUAACACUACCAAGAUUCAAUUCCUUGUUUAAUGUUUCUACUAUUUGCAUCAUCAUUUCUGCCAAGAGCUUCACUCAUUGCCCAGGCUGUACCAUGGCCAUUAUUCCCAAGGCAAGCAGAACAAGAACACUGAUCUUACCACAAAACCUUUCCAAUGUGGAUGUAGAAAAAUGGACAGUGACGUCCAAGGAAGCACAAUGAUGCUGAUCAGCAUGCCAGGCAAUCAAACCCCAGUCAUUUGUGCCUUGUGAGGUACAGGCUUCUUUGUGAAGCUUUUUACAGAGCUCUCUGCAGAACAGCGCAGCUGCUGUGAAGAUUUUUAUGAGGACCUUUACGCAAGUACAGGGGAAGGCAAGCAAAGAAUUAAUGCACUCAGCAGAAAAGUGAUGUGAGCACUGUAAUAGGCUGGAGUUGGCAUCUUACUGAGGAAGUCACUGACACAGAGCAGUUACAGGCACUGAAGGGCCCUCAGAAACAAAAUCAAGUAACUUCGGCUUCACUCAAUAGAGAAGGGGCAGACAGAAAAGAUGCAGAGUUUUAACUAUUUUUAAUCAAUAUAAAAUAACCUGUGUAAAAACAGUCGAAGCUAUGCUGCAAUUAACUUUUUUCAAUAUGCACAAGAUAGCUACAGAGCCAUCUGACAGUUCUUGGAUGAAGGCUUGUGGAACUAACAACAGCAUCAGAUUCUCAACACACAAAGGGGACACAAUUGAGCCAGUACACACCUCCAACCCCUCCAGUCAAGAUCAAGGUCAACACAAACUGUGGUGGAAGAGUGCCUCCACCCACCCACCCACUCACACACACUUUCCCACUUGAAAAGUAACAGGAGCACACACCACUGCAUCACUCCAGCACAGCUGUGUCAGAAACAGCCACUUACAAGCUUACUUAUCAAGUUUCUAUGCCAGGGGAGUACAUAGCACACAAUAAGGCAAACCACUGAAAUUUAAAACAAUUUAUAAAGUACUGUUAUUUAAUUCCUGUUCUCUACAACCUCCAUAUUCUUUCAAAAAUGUGUAAAAAUAAGAUGAGGAGAUGAGAUUUCUGAGAAGUUCACAAUGGACAGUUCUGGAAACAAACUUUACCUGGGAUCUGUAGAGCAGUGCAAAUGCCAGCACAACAGUUGGAUUUGACACCAGUUUUCCAUUUAAAAAAAAGCAAUUACAGAUACCGUAAGCUACAUCAAAAUAGCUGCAGUUCACAUUGCAUGACUGACCUGAUUUGCUGUUUUCUUUCAUGACUUGUAAAAUAUCAGUAGAAACAGCACAAAGACUUUUUCUUAAUAAAUUUUAAUAUUAAGACCAGUUUGUCUGGAUAAAAACACAGUUACAAGUACCACACUACUGCAAAUUCUGCAUGAUGCACAGUAGUGCUCACAACAUUUGCGUGGCAAGACCAUUUUGGAACGGUUUGUGAAAGGUAUGUCAAAAACAGAAUCUUGGCAUAAGUAAUAAUGUAUGUUACCAGUGAAUUUAUUAUUGUGAAAAUAUAUCUGUCCCACAAUGUACACCACUGUAAAUAAUCAAAUGCAAUAUUUAUGCGCAUCAAAAAUAUAUGGGGUGAAUAUAUACUCAGUUCAGCAUUAAAUCAGCAA
Non-coding RNA from Zonotrichia albicollis (white-throated sparrow), 1696 nucleotides. The record is from RefSeq and is a predicted model, not a curated record. NCBI's taxonomy places the organism in Eukaryota, Metazoa, Chordata, Aves, Passeriformes, Passerellidae.